Molecule: ribosomal RNA, 392 nt
Filed under: uncultured bacterium
Lineage: Bacteria
Description: partial 16S ribosomal RNA
Rfam family: Bacterial small subunit ribosomal RNA
Source: RNAcentral
AUACGUAGGUGGCAAGCGUUAUCCGGAAUUAUUGGGCGUAAAGAGGGAGCAGGCGGCAGCAAGGGUCUGUGGUGAAAGCCUGAAGCUUAACUUCAGUAAGCCAUAGAAACCAGGCAGCUAGAGUGCAGGAGAGUAUCGUGGAAUUCCAUGUGUAGCGGUGAAAUGCGUAGAUAUAUGGAGGAACACCAGUGGCGAAGGCGACGAUCUGGCCUGCAACUGACGCUCAGUCCCGAAAGCGUGGGGAGCAAAUAGGAUUAGAUACCCUAGUAGUCCACGCCGUAAACGAUGAGUACUAAGUGUUGGAUGUCAAAGUUCAGUGCUGCAGUUAACGCAAUAAGUACUCCGCCUGAGGAGUACGUUCGCAAGAAUGAAACUCAAAGGAAUGGACGGGG